Setaria italica (foxtail millet) is the source of this 1481-nucleotide long non-coding RNA. RefSeq lists it as uncharacterized. The transcript has 2 exons. Lineage: Eukaryota; Viridiplantae; Streptophyta; Magnoliopsida; Poales; Poaceae. The record is from RefSeq and is a predicted model, not a curated record.
UCCGCCCGAACAGCAGCAGCAAGAACACAAAUCCGCCGCCGCGAAUCGCCGAUUUCAGGUCGGCUCAAUCAAUGGCGAAUACGAGGGGGCCCUCGUGGUCGGACAUCCCGCUGGAUCUCACCGGCCGGAUCCUCCGCCGGCUGCCUGCUCACGUCGACCGCCUCCGGUUCGCCUCCGUGUGCCCCGAGUGGCAACACGGACGCUUGUGGCAACUGGUUAGUGUUCUCAGGCGAGGAUGGCUGCUUCCUGCGGGAUCCUUUCUCCAAUGCCACGGUGCCACUUCCUGCUUUGUCCCGUGACCGAAUCUGCUACGUGGGCGAUGAGUCCAUUGAUGAGGCGAACCUAGCAUGGCUGCGAAAGUCUCAUCGGUUGAUUUUGGAGGAGCCGAGGAGGUGGAAACUAAUGUUUUGCUCACCCCACCUGAUUGCAGCAUUAGUUUCGCUUAGGAAAACCAAACGGAUCGCAGUGUGCCAACCAGGGACCAACUCCUGGUGGUCCGUAAGCGUGGAAAACAAUUAUCUAUACUUUGUUGACAUGGCAUUCCAUCAGGGCAAGCUCUAUGCCCUUACUAUCCUGGGUAUACUAUUUGCCAUCGACAUCAGUGUGGACAGCAGCACGGGCAACCCAUGGGUUUCUGAAAUGCGAAAGAUCAUCGACGAUCCGCCUUUCUCAAUUCCACUGGUUACAAAGAUGACCUAUCUAGUUGAAUCGCGUGGUGUGUUGCUGGUGGUGUUGCGAAAGUUGGCAGAAGGAGAGACAGGAGGAGCUCUCCCUGAAUCCGCUGCAUCUGAACAGAAUGAGAUUGAGGUGUUUAAAGCCAGUUUGAGGCAGUCACAGUGGACCAAGGUGAUGACAGUAGGGGAUGACCGGGUUUUGUUUUUACGUCGACGGUGCUGCAGAUCUGCUUGUGUCUCUCAUGAGGAGGUGCCGAGGGAUUGCAUCUUCUUCCUGGAGAAUGACGAUGAGGAUCACGGUUGGUCUAAGGCGACCUCAAGCUCUUGCAGUGUCUACAGCAUGAGGGACGGCAAGGUCUCCACCCCUCUGCCGACGGUGUCAUGGAAGCGUGGCACGGUGUUUGCGACAUGGCUCUUCCCGCAGAACUGAAGUGAAGCUCUUGCUGAGCUAGCUGCUAAAUAUGUGAGAUCGACCUUAUCUGACCUCAGUAUAGUGGUCUCCAAUAUCAGAUAAGCUGCGAAGUGUAUCAGUACUUGUUGGAUCGUACUAUGGUGGCCUACUGGCAUCUGUAAUGCUGACUUUGGGCUGAUUGUGUGUGCUCAGUUUGUAAAACCAUUGAUGAACCUUGAGGUAGCAAGUAGCAUGUACCGUCUGUUAUGGACUUAUUCAGUUAGCUUGGAAUCAAUUGGGCGUGGUGUCUCUAGUUGGGGAGAGGUUAAUUGCAAGCUUGCUUGUUUGAUCUUAAUCUUGCUAUCUUGAAUAUCUUGUUUGAUCUUAAUGAUGCUAUCUUGAAUACUUUGUUGGCA